RNAcentral lists this ribosomal RNA (452 nucleotides) under uncultured bacterium. RNAcentral's name for it is "bacterial SSU rRNA". It matches the Rfam family "Bacterial small subunit ribosomal RNA", at positions 29 to 523 of the family's 1533-position model. The record is from RNAcentral.
AACGAACGCUGGCGGCAGGCCUAACACAUGCAAGUCGAACGCCCUAGCAAUAGGGAGUGGCGCACGGGUGCGUAACGCGUGGGAAUAUGCCCUUCACUGCGGAAUAACGUUUGGAAACGAACGCUAAUACCGCAUAAUGACUCCGGUCCAAAGAUUUAUCGGUGAAGGAUUAGCCCGCGUUAGAUUAGCUAGUUGGUGAGGUAAUGGCUCACCAAGGCGACGAUCUAUAGCUGGUCUGAGAGGAUGAUCAGCCACACUGGGACUGAGACACGGCCCAGACUCCUACGGGAGGCAGCAGUGAGGAAUAUUGGACAAUGGGCGCAAGCCUGAUCCAGCCAUGCCGCGUGAGUGAAGAAGGCCUUCGGUUGUAAAGCUCUUUCUAGAUGUGAAGAUAAUGACGGUAGCAUCAGAAGAAGACCCCGGCCUAAAUUACGUGCCAGCAGCCGCGGUAA